Molecule: long non-coding RNA, 6651 nt
Filed under: Erythranthe guttata (spotted monkey flower)
Lineage: Eukaryota; Viridiplantae; Streptophyta; Magnoliopsida; Lamiales; Phrymaceae
Description: long non-coding RNA (EGUT_LNC000966)
Source: RNAcentral
CUCCUCUGUUUUACUAUCAUCAAGAGACAACUUUUCUACGACGGUAUCGAAAUCCUUAAAGGAAACAAGCUUAUCUGUCAACAAAUACCUAGUAGAGCCAUGUGGGCUGAUAAAAUCACCCGCCUUGGUGGUGCACCUCCAGCUCUUUCUUCCUGCAUUCACGGCGGCGGCACCACCGUUAUUAUCACCACCGUCAGUUUUACCGCCAUUUUGUUGUUCUUCGUCGGUUUCUUGAAAAGGGACUCUUUUUAUAUUCUUCUUCUUCUUCUUGGGGGUGAUGGGUGGCUGAGUGGAGCUGGUGCACGGAGGGAGUACGGAUUUUGUGAUUCUUUUUGCGUCUUUGAUGAUGGGGUUGUGGCGGUCGAUGGCUCUGCCGGCGGCGGCGCCGUCGUCUCCGGCGGCGGCGGAGAGAAGGAAGGCGGAGGAGGAAGGAGUGGAGGACGAUGAACCUUGUUCCAUGCUAAGGCAAAUGGCUGUUGCAGCUUGUGAUGCGCAGAAUAUAUCUAUUCCUUUCAUUUUUCGAUCUAAUAUUCUGAUAAGGUUGAAUUACUUCAAAAUGGUUUUUUUGGAGAAUCAAUUUUUCUUUUCUGGGUGAAGAGAGAGAAAGAGAGAAAGACAGAUGAGAGAGAGAGAGAGAAGUUAAAAUGGAGAGAGAGAGAAGGUAAAUUGGGAAUAUAUAUCGCCUCUUUCCUCCUUGUGAAAACCAGCAAAAUUGGAAUAUAGGAUUAAUAUUAGGGUAAAUUAUGUUUUCACUCUCUGAAAUAAGAUUAAAUUACGAAAAAACCUCUCAUGUUUGGAUAAUUACAACAACUUCUCAACUAUGAAUCUUCUUACACGUUCACUCAUAUAGUGUCAAAUUCAACAUGAUCUUUUCGAUUUCGUGGAAUAUUCGCUAAUUUGUAUUCGUUUUGUACAAAAAUGAAGUUUUUGAUGCACCACAAUCUGAUGUUUACAAGCCAAGAGACACAUCUUAUGAUUAUCUUGUUUCAACAUGUUGAGCUCGAAUAGUACAAAACAUGUACAAAUUGAAGAAUAUUCCACUAAAUUUGACACCGGAAGGAUGAAUUUAUAAGAAGAUUCAUAUUUAAGGGUGUGAUUGUAAUUACCUAAACAUGAUUUUUUUCUUAAAUUAACUUUACAUCAUGGAGGUGGCCGUAAUUUGCCUUUAAUGUUAAAGCUUUUCUUGUGCUAAAAACUAAAAAUGUACUAGUGCUAUAUGAUAAGAUAAACUAAGAUAGCAGAUACUAACAAUAGUAAUAAUUUUAUGAAAUUUAUACAAACGCUAUGUUAAUGAGAGUUUGUUACCAAAUCUAGCAACAUAAUGUCCUAAAUAUGCACCAUGCAUACGACUUUUUCACUUGAUUUGCAUAUAUUUUGUUUAAUUGAAAGCCUUCAAUGCCUUCUUCUUCUUGUUUUUUUUUCUCGGUAUCUUGUUUUCACUUGAAAACUAUCGCAUCAAUGAAAUUGGAGAUCAUAUGAAUUUGAUUUUCCUUGAAAAAUCAUGUUGGAGGGUUAGGUGUGGUAUUAACUUAAGGAAACUCCUCAUUUUCGCCUUGUUUAUCUAUAACGCAAUACAUAUGCCAUUUCAUCGGCAAUCCAUUGCAACUCUUCCGUGAUGCGAUUUGCCCUUUGAGCCACAUUUCUUUGAAGUUAUGCUAAUUGAAUUGAAAACUUGUGCCAUGAUUAAACUUGUGCCAUGAUUAUGCAUGACGUUGCAAUGUGGUGCAAAUAUGUCAUGCUUGAUCUUAUAACGUAAAAAUAGGAUUAAUGCUAGCCUAACAAUGGAACAUUAGUGUUAUAUUGAAUUUCGCGACGAAAUAUGGAACAAUAUUAUCAAUCAUUGUGAUAUUUCCCACAUUUCGUUACAAUGAGAAUAUUAACUCUUUUUUUUAACCAAAAAUUGUUAUUUGCGGUUUAGCGACAAAAAAAUACUGUUUGUUGCAAGCUUUGCGAUGGGAUGUAUUGGGACAUUUUUCCGCCGAACCCAUAAUGGGUUUUUUCUUCAAAAUGCUGAAACUCCGUCCCAAUUUGGACUCUUUUGUUGCAAAUAUUCGUCUACGGUUUCCACUUUUUUAAUUAGUGGUUAAUAAUUUCGUUUCUCGCGUACUUUCUAUAAUAUAUGAAAAACGACCCUUUUUAACCAAAACAUGUUACUAUUAGAUGUGUUGGAUUCGGCAAUAGUCAUGCUGGAUUUUUCAUUUUCAUUUGAUUUAUGGACAGCCAAGUGGCAUGUUGGACACUUGUCGUAGGCGGAUUAUGUCCGAUAUGCAACAAUGGUCUUUUGGAGUGUCACUUGUUAUAGCUACUCACUAGUCCAUGUUGUUUUGCAUACAGGACUUGCCAUAACGAGUAGUUAUCUGAAAUAAGAAAAAAAAAAGUUAGUGUUAGUUAUGCUGAUAGAUUUACUGCGGUUGCUAAAACUGCGUAAAUGUGUUUUUUGGUAUAAAUUGGUUGGCUAUAAAGGUGUAAAUUUAUCGUGUCAGUAUCUUUACGUACUGUAUUCAAUGCAAUAUUUAUGCAAUUCUUAGUGACUAUAAGGUUCUCAUCAAUUUUGCAUGAGGGAUUCUGUUGUGUUUAUUAGGUAUUUGCCUGCAGUCACGAAACACAUUUAUGUUACACUAUAUUAGUUGAAUCAUAAAUGCUUUGUUCGUGUAAUAAUUACUCGAUUUUGAUUGGUGAUGUUGUAGGAACUUGACAAGGGACCACCUAAAGAAGGUUCUCCUUCAUUGGCUUAUUCGGAAAUCUCCAAGGAGGCUGAUCACGCUAGCCCUGUCUCGGUUCUUGCACCUUCUAGCUUCCAAGGUUUUGAGGAAGUCAGUGCUGCCCUAAAUGGUAUGAAAAUUUACUAUUUUAAUUGCCUGUCAGAGUAAUGAUAAUUAUUUGAUGUUGAAUUUUUAACGUAAGUCCUUCAGGCAAUACUUCUCGAAAUGUAGUCCAUUUUUGUGGGAUCAGUUGGUUUCUCUAUACACCCUUUCUCCAUCAGAUUUUGUGUGUGUGUGUGUGUUUGCUGAUUCCGACCAUUUUGAUAAACUAGUGCCUUUGAUUCCCACGUAGAUAAUUAGUUUGUCCACUAAAAUCGUGGUUGAUAGUUGAUACAUGAAUUACUAAUAUGAAUGACUUUUAUAAACAUUUUGUCCUCCCAUGAUGAAUAGAGCAGAAGGGUAGAAAUAGGAAGCAGAUUCCGAUCCGAUUUUUUUUUUUUUUUUUUUUUGAUUUUGGAACAAUAUUUUGUCAUUCCGAAUUCCGAAAUUCCAAUUUCCAAUUUUUCCGAAUUUUUUGGAUGGGAAUUGGAAUACAUUUGAGCUUUUGAUUUUCGAUCCAAUUUCGAUUUCGGAAAUUAAUUUUGAAAAUUCCAAUUUUUUUCUGAACUUAUAAUACCCAUAUUAUGAAGUAUUUUGUAUUUAGAUGACUAAUCAUUUGGAAGUUUUCAUUUCCGCCAGUUGCGAGCCGAAAAUUUCCGAUUUUGGAACAAGUUUUUUUGUUCAAUUUUCCGAAAUUACGAUUUUUUUUAAUGAAAUUGGAUCUAGUUUCACUUCCGGAAAAAAUCAGUAUUUUUCCGAAAGUGCUAAUUCCGAUCCGUCGGAUUCGCACCCCUAAUAGAGCUACAUGUAGAUUUAUGUUUUGAGAGAAAGCAGCCGACAAAUGUACGUUCAUUUUAUUUUGUCAUAAAUACUUGAAGCAAAUUAUUUGACCGCAGAAUUUCCAAUUUUCUUUUGUAGAGCUCCGAAUGCAAUUGCAGCUGCUGAAGAUGGAAUCUGACUCAUAUAACUCGAUAUCCACUCUUGUCCUAAUUGAAGACGAAAAUGCACAACUAUCUUCACUGCUUCCAAAAGGCUGGAAACUCUCUUACAUUCUUGACGUGCUUAUCCACUCUAAUCUUCGAGUAUUUAGCUACGACAUGUCUGUGAUGACGUGGCACUCCAACAAAUCCCCAUUGGAUCCUAACUUGUUCGACAAACUCGAGAAGAAAUACGCUGAUCACGAAAUGAAUGAGCCGAUGCUGGAAAGGAAGUUGCUAUUUGACGGAAUAAAUUCAACACUAUUGAAGAUUCUUCAACAGAAGCUCGAUCUUUGCCCUUGGGUGAAACCGAAAUUAGCAGCACUGCCUUUGAUUUCGCAGAAGGAACGAGUUGUAGAUGCUCUGGAGAAAUUGAUCAACGAAGAAUCUCCGUAUGGGCAGGUAGAUGAGAAGAUAUUAGUCGACAAGGAGAUGCUGUUUCAAGAUUCUAAAGGAGAAAUCAACUUAUUAGGUAAUGAAAUUGGGAAUUUGUUGAUGGAUGACAUGAUAAUCGAGAUUCUUGCGUAACUGCUAGUGUUAGAUUUUUUUUUUUCCCGCAAAGGAAGCUGGGGAUUUUAAGUUGGUAUAACAUAGGCGAUGAAUUAAGAAUAAAGUCGGAAUAAGAACUUACAGACAGGUUUUUUUUUUUUUUUUUUAAGGCAAAUCAGACAGUUUCAUGUUUCUUUGAUGUGUUGCAAGAAUAUGUUGAGAGGAGUAUCUAGAGAAUUCUAGAAUUAUAGGGUUUGUAGUUUUUUUUUUCGAUUGGUAUAAUUAAUUAAAUAAUUGAGUUUUAUUUGGUAUUUGAUUAGUGCAACAAUACAUUUUUCAAGGUGACUCAAUUAUACCAACUCUCGUUAGAAGAGUUGGUACCUAACUUCUACUCUGAGUCGAGGUCUAGGGAUCGAAUUCUGCCCCCUCCCGUACUUUCCCAAUUUGUAACAUGAUUCGAUUUCUAGUGAAUAAUCAAUGCUUAAUAAUUUUUUAUCACAAAAUAAAAAUAAAAAGGGCAUUAUGGGAAUGCAAAUGCUGUAAUAGUUUUCGAUAAUUCUCAAACACGAACAAAAACACCGGAAUGAACAUUAAAUAAUUUACACCAGCUAACUGCUAGAUGCAAUUGAAUUUCUAAUUAAGAAGAAGAAAAUAAAAUAAAAAUAAAAAUAAAUAAAUUAAAAAAGAGCAAUUAUCUAUCUGCAACUUGUAAUGCUGCAGGUUCUUUGUAACCAUAAAUGGUGGAUUCUGAGUUAAUGAGGUUGUCUGGGAUUGAAUUAGAUGGCCAUAACUGGGCAUUGGACUUCACCUUAGAUAUGCUUGAAAGUACAUUCGCCGGAGUUACGUUUCCGGUCACCGUCACCUUCUUCGCCGCAAAAUCUAUCUCGAAAGACGUUACCCCUAUAAAUAUACCACUUAGCUUAUUUAUUAUCUAUCUCCACAAAUCAUAAAUAUAUUAUACUACACAACAAAUAACACCACCUUAAUUAUUAUAAAAAUAAAAAUAGAAUAUUUUUUUUUACUAACUUGAUGAUGUAAUCUUAUGGGAAUUGGCAAAAAAUGAAAUAAAUGGUUGUUGGAAAUUUAUUUUACACCAAAUUACUGCCAGCCCCCUAAAGUAAGGUCAAAUUACAAAAAAUCCCACUUGUUUCGAUAAUUACAACAAUUCCUCAACUACGUAUUAUCUUACAAUUGAAAGAUGAGUUUUUUGGUAAAACAAUAUGUAAUUGAGGAGUGGUUGUAAUUAUCCAAAUAUAAGGGUUUCUUUUUCGUAAUUUGACUUUACCUGAGUAGUCAGGACGUAAUUUGCCCAUAAAUGUAUGAUGAUGCAUUAUAUUUGACAUAUAUCUAAUCAAGUGAAAAAAGCGACAAAAAAAUAGAGACCUUCCAUCCUAGAGAGAUGUUUUCUCAUUUUCUUUUCGCAUCCUCUGCAGUGCAAAGACACUCUCAGUACAACUACUACAACCUCCUCCUCCUGCAAAUUAAUCCAACAAACAAACACUACUCAUCUUUACAUACAUACAUACAUAUGUAAAACGACUCAGAUGAAUUAUAAUUAAAUUAAGCAAAUAAUUAACCUGCAGAUGGUCAGGGGGCGGCGGCGGCGGUACGGCGUCGUCGGAGAUGAGUUCCUCCUCUGUUUUACUAUCAUCAAGAGACAACUUUUCUACGACGGUAUCGAAAUCCUUAAAGGAAACAAGCUUAUCUGUCAACAAAUACCUAGUAGAGCCAUGUGGGCUGAUAAAAUCACCCGGCUUGGUGGUGCACCUCCAGCUCUUUCUUCCUACAUUCACGGCGGCGGCACCACCGUUAUCAUCACCGCCGUCAGUUUUACCGCCAUUUUGUUGUUCUUCGUCGGUUUCUUGAAAAGGGACUCUUUUUAUAUUCUUCUUCUGCUUCUUCUUGGGGGUGAUGGGUGGCUGAGUGGAGCUGGUGCAAGGAGGGAGUACGGAUUUGGUGAUUAUUCUUUUUGCGUCUUUGAUGAUGGGGUUGUGGCGGUCGAUGGCUCUGCCGGCGGCGGCGCCGUCGUCUCCGGCGGCGGCGGAGAGAAGGAAGGCGGAGGAGGAAGGAGUGGAGGACGAUGAACCUUGUUCCAUGCUAAGGCAAAUGGCUGUUGCAGCUUGUGAUGCGCAGAAUAUAUCUAUUCCUUUCAUUUUUCGAUCUAAUAUUCUGAUAAGGUUGAAUUACUUCAAAAUGGUUUUUUUGGAGAAUCAAUUUUUCUUUUCUGGGUGAAGAGAGAGAAAGAGAGAAAGACAGAUGAGAGAGAGAGAGAGAAGUUAAAAUGGAGAGAGAGAGAAGGUAAAUUGGGAAUAUAUAUCGCCUCUUUCCUCCUUGUGAAAACCAGCAAAAUUGGAAUAUAGGAUUAAUAUUAGGGUAAAUUAUGU